AAUAAAAACGCGUUGAAAAAAUGUUGACCGACUGAUUUACAAACGAUAGAGGGGUAAAUAGGAAUUUUACAAUCCCCAGUAAAUCUCGAAUAUUCUACACAAUCCCGAAAAUCACUCAUCCACUUUCCAUAUAUAGUUAUUCUUGUGAAAUUAGGGGAAAAACUGUAGAAAAAAAAAUCAAAUCGAUAACCACCAUUCCAUUUAGCUUGGAGAAGAACUGAAGAAAAUUUGAAGAACGUGUUCAUUGUCGCGGAGGAAAAAAAAAAGAUCGAAGAAGGUGAGUUCAAAUUUUACAUACUUGCAGAAACUAAAAAUUUUCGAAUAUAUUAAAGAACCAACAACAUUUAAAUAGUUCUCUAGUUUAUAGAUCUGUAAAAUCUAAGAUUUUUUAUACAAGAAUCGUCUUGUAUUUACUGACAAUUGCUUUUGAAUUCAAAAAUUAGUUCAAAACCCUACUAGAAACAAAAAUUUCCUUUUCUGUCAUUGCUUUACUGAAUUUACAAUAGAAUAAUGAGGGUCCCAGUGAGAUUUCUAAUGAAACAUUCGAAAGUAGAAAUAUAGUAUUCCCUCCUUUUGUAUUUUUUGUGAAGAUGCCCCCCCCCCCUCCCUUCACUUCCGUCGUACCCACCACCCCUUACCAUGAGUAACAAAGCAAAAAAAAAAUUAUACUGUAUUCGAUAUUAUCUGAUAACUAACUCCUCUUUAUUUUGUGUAUUACCAAAAUAAUGCAAUCUCAAAUAGUGUUGAUGCACAGGAGACACCAAAGAAGGGGAAGCAGAAAAUUUUACAAGUUCCUGGAACCAGUAAGAAGAGGAAAUCCACAAUGGAAUCAACAGAACCAAAUGCAUAUGACGAUUUUGUUGACAGUCCCCCACUUCUUACACAAGGAGGCAGAAAAGAUGGGAGUACAUCAAAAGGAAAAACUCCAAAAAAAAGAGUGAAAUGCAGUACCAAGAAAAAAAAAAAUCUGUUGACAAGAGUAUAACAUCAAUAUCCGGAGAGAAGGAUGAAGUGAAGGGUAAAAAGAAACGUCGUCGACAAAAAAAUCCAAAAGGUGUCAAAUGCAAGAGAAGAUGCCUACGUCAAGCUGGUGUAAGUGAACAAAAUGAAGAAACAAAGAAGAAGGCCAAACUAAGGAUGAUAAAAAUACCCAAAACUCAACACUCGAAGCAUGCCGACUGCCUUCUACAAGAAGCUGCGUGAGUUGAAUGAGGCACAUCGUAGAGCCGUUCAUGCAAUAGGAUUUGGAAGAAUAUUGGAAUUCACAAUAAAAGAUGUGCCUUCAAGAUUAGCGUACUGGGUAUUAGACAGGUAUGAUUCUCGAAGUGGAUUACUCGAAAUAGAUGGAACAUGCAAGGUGAAGAUUGAGGAGGAUGAUGUAUACUGGGUAUUCGGAUUUCCAAAAGGCGAUAAAAUAUUGAUGUAUUCGCAAGGACAACGGUAAACGAAUUAUUAAACAAAUAGAUGAGAUUCUUCCAAGGCAAAAGCAGCGAAGAGAUAAAGAUCAAGAAUGUUCUGAACAAAAUGAUCAACUGUGAAGAUGGAUGGACUUGGUUUAUCAGGCAUUUCAUGAUUGUCAUGUCAUUCCGCUUAUGGAGAGCUGCACAAGCGGAACAGUUCAUCCAUACAUUCUCAGAUGCUUAGAAAAUGUCAAUGAGUUGUCAUCCUGGAAUUGGGGAGGGGGGGAAUACAUAUUAACAAUGUUGAUAGACCACAAACGAUCAUGGAUAGAUGACAAGUCAAAAUUAUUUGGUGGCCCCGUCUUAUUCCUCAUGCUGUUCUAUGUUGAUAGAAUUGAAAUUCACAGGCAAAUCCAUGAUAGGACAUUCCCUGGAUUCAUAAAUUGGACAAGAAAAAUGCUAAGAGAUAGGCAAAGAAUCGAGAAAAAUAAUAGAUUUAGAGGUGGAGGUCAUCUUCUUGAAGCCAGCUGCCAGAUGAAUACUCAAAAGUUAAACAAGGAACAAACACGGAGACUGAUGGAGUAAGACAACUUACCAUUGAAAAGCAAAACGACUGUGGGACAGAGACAACAGCUUCAAAGUUCAUGAAUGAAUCUAUGGCAAUUGCAGAGCGAAUUGAAAAUCUACGUGCCCUUGUGAGAGCUGCACCAGAGAGUGAGCAUCAUUCAAAGCUUCUAAGGGACAACAUCAACGCGGGAUGCAAAUUAAUGGGCAUAGUCUCUGAGGUUGAUAACAAAUCUGACAAAGAUAAGAACAUCGACAUAGAUAUGUACAAUGAUCCAAUUUUUGAGUCAGAAUAACUCUUUGUAGCCUUGGAUGCC
Salvia miltiorrhiza (redroot sage) is the source of this 2281-nucleotide long non-coding RNA. RefSeq lists it as uncharacterized. The transcript has 5 exons. The record is from RefSeq and is a predicted model, not a curated record. Lineage: Eukaryota; Viridiplantae; Streptophyta; Magnoliopsida; Lamiales; Lamiaceae.